ACUCCUACGGGAGGCAGCAGUGGGGAAUAUUGCACAAUGGGCGCAAGCCUGAUGCAGCCCAUGCCGCGUGUAUGAAGAAGGCCUUCGGGUUGUAAAGUACUUUGCAGCAGUGAGGAAGGUGGGUAUGUUAAUAGCAUACUCAUUUGACGUUAGCGUGCAGAAGAAGCACCGGCUAACUCCGUGCCAGCAGCCGCGGUAAUACGG
Molecule: ribosomal RNA, 204 nt
Filed under: uncultured bacterium
Lineage: Bacteria
Description: partial 16S ribosomal RNA
Rfam family: Bacterial small subunit ribosomal RNA
Source: RNAcentral